GUGCCAGCCGCCGCGGUAAGACGUAGGGGGCGAGCGUUGUCCGGAAUUACUGGGCGUAAAGAGCACGUAGGCGGAUGUAUAAGUCAGGUGUGAAAGACCGCAGCCUAACUGCGGGGUUGCACUUGAAACUGUAUAUCUUGAGGGCAGGAGAGGUUAGUAGAAUUCCUGGUGUAGCGGUGAAAUGCGUAGAAAUCAGGAGGAAUACCAGUGGCGAAGGCGACUGACUGGACUGACCCUGACGCUGAGGUGCGAAAGCGUGGGUAGCAAACAGGAUUAGAUACCCUGGUAGUCCACGCCGUAAACGAUGGAUACUAGGUGUGGGAGGUAUCGACCCCUUCCGUGCCGCAGCUAACGCAAUAAGUAUCCCGCCUGGGGAGUACGGUCGCAAGGCUGAAACUCAAAUGAAUUGACGG
This 413-nucleotide ribosomal RNA is filed under the name uncultured bacterium. Its description in RNAcentral is "bacterial SSU rRNA". It matches the Rfam family "Bacterial small subunit ribosomal RNA", at positions 505 to 916 of the family's 1533-position model. The record is from RNAcentral.